UUAAAGAUAAGCUAAAAUUAAAGCUUUUUGGCUCAUACCCAAAAUAUAGAAUUUAUUCUUCUUUAAA
RNAcentral lists this transfer RNA (67 nucleotides) under Meteorus sp. 2 XHS-2023a. Its description in RNAcentral is "tRNA-Met". Lineage: Eukaryota; Metazoa; Arthropoda; Insecta; Hymenoptera; Braconidae. The record is from RNAcentral.